RNAcentral lists this ribosomal RNA (293 nucleotides) under uncultured eukaryote. RNAcentral describes it as "partial 18S ribosomal RNA". It matches the Rfam family "Eukaryotic small subunit ribosomal RNA", at positions 6 to 301 of the family's 1831-position model. The record is from RNAcentral.
GGUUGAUCCUGCCAGUAGUCAUAUGCUUGUCUCAAAGAUUAAGCCAUGCAUGUCUAAGUAUAAGCUUUUAUACGGUGAAACUGCGAAUGGCUCAUUAAAACAGUUAUAGUUUAUUUGAUGGUCUCUCUUACAUGGAUAACCAUGGUAAUUCUAUGGCUAAUACAUGCGCAAUCGCCUCCUUCUCUGGAGGGGCUGUGUUUAUUAGAUACAAAACCAACCCACUUUGUGGAGCCUUGGUGAUUCAUAGUAACCGAACGGAUCGCAUUUGGCUUCGGCCCGCGAUGGAUCAUUCA